Molecule: ribosomal RNA, 453 nt
Filed under: uncultured bacterium
Lineage: Bacteria
Description: partial 16S ribosomal RNA
Rfam family: Bacterial small subunit ribosomal RNA
Source: RNAcentral
AGCGAACGCUGGCGGCAGGCUUAACACAUGCAAGUCGAGCGGGCAUAGCAAUAUGUCAGCGGCAGACGGGUGAGUAACGCGUGGGAACGUACCGUUUGGUUCGGAACAACACGGGGAAACUUGUGCUAAUACCGGAUAAGCCCUUACGGGGAAAGAUUUAUCGCCGAAAGAUCGGCCCGCGUCUGAUUAGCUAGUUGGUGAGGUAAUGGCUCACCAAGGCGACGAUCAGUAGCUGGUCUGAGAGGAUGAUCAGCCACAUUGGGACUGAGACACGGCCCAAACUCCUACGGGAGGCAGCAGUGGGGAAUAUUGGACAAUGGGCGCAAGCCUGAUCCAGCCAUGCCGCGUGAGUGAUGAAGGCCCUAGGGUUGUAAAGCUCUUUUGUAGGGGAAGAAUUUCUGACGGUACCCUACGAAUAAGAGGUUGCUCACUCUGUGCCAGCCGCCGCAGUAA